Molecule: ribosomal RNA, 401 nt
Filed under: uncultured bacterium
Lineage: Bacteria
Description: bacterial SSU rRNA
Rfam family: Bacterial small subunit ribosomal RNA
Source: RNAcentral
UGGGGAAUAUUGCACAAUGGGGGAAACCCUGAUGCAGCAACGCCGCGUGAGUGAUGACGGCCUUCGGGUUGUAAAGCUCUGUCUUCAGGGACGAUAAUGACGGUACCUGAGGAGGAAGCCACGGCUAACUACGUGCCAGCAGCCGCGGUAAUACGUAGGUGGCAAGCGUUGUCCGGAAUUACUGGGCGUAAAGAAUGCGUAGGUGGAUAUGCAAGGCAGAUGUGAAAUACCCGGGCUCAACUUGGGUGCUGCAUUUGAAACUAUAUAUCUAGAGUGCAGGAGAGGAAAGCGGAAUUCCUAGUGUAGCGGUGAAAUGCGUAGAGAUUAGGAAGAACACCAGUGGCGAAGGCGGCUUUCUGGACUGUAACUGACACUGAGGCAUGAAAGCGUGGGGAGCAAAC